AUUGAACGCUGGCGGCAUGCCUUACACAUGCAAGUCGAACGGCAGGCGGACCUUCGGGUGCCGGCGAGUGGCGAACGGGUGAGUAAUAUAUCGGAACGUACCUUUCAGUGGGGGAUAACGUAGCGAAAGUUACGCUAAUACCGCAUAUUCUGUGAGCAGGAAAGCAGGGGAUCGCAAGACCUUGCGCUGAUUGAGCGGCCGAUAUCAGAUUAGCUAGUUGGUGAGGUAAAGGCUCACCAAGGCGACGAUCUGUAGCGGGUCUGAGAGGAUGAUCCGCCACACUGGAACUGAGACACGGUCCAGACUCCUACGGGAGGCAGCAGUGGGGAAUUUUGGACGAAUGGGCGCAAGCCUGGAUCCAGCCAUGCCGCGUGAGUGAAGAAGGCCU
This 388-nucleotide ribosomal RNA is filed under the name uncultured bacterium. RNAcentral describes it as "bacterial SSU rRNA". It matches the Rfam family "Bacterial small subunit ribosomal RNA", at positions 30 to 417 of the family's 1533-position model. The record is from RNAcentral.